RNAcentral lists this non-coding RNA (812 nucleotides) under Anoplotermes sp. J01. The record is from RNAcentral. Lineage: Eukaryota; Metazoa; Arthropoda; Insecta; Blattodea; Termitidae.
UAGAAGUUUUAUUCUUGCUUGUGUGUUCAAUAUUUGUUUGUUUUAUAUGUAAGGGUUUACGUGAGUUUACUCCAGGUUUCUAGAAGGGGCGGAGGUAGUCGUAGUAUUAAUUCUCAUUAGUUAUUAUUAGUUGAUCAAGUGUCCUUGUAUUUAGCAACUCAUUUUAGUUUCGGUUAAAUUUUGUGCCAGCAGCCGCGGUUAUACCUUGGAGGCAUUUGAACAUGUUCGGUGUGUGUAGUUUUAUGUUUAUUUUAGUUGAUUUUAUUUUAUUAACUUAUUGGGUGAAAUUUUUAUUAUUAUUUAUAUCAUUUGUUUGUUUGGAGGCUAUGAAAUUCCUUUUAUAAACUAGGAUUAGAUACCCUAUUAUUUUGGAUCGUUAAGCUUGUUACCUGAGUAGUAUUAGUUAUGUUCUUGAAACUUAAAGAAUUUGGCGGUAUCUUAUUCCGUCCAGAGGAAUCUGUCUCGUUAUCGAUAGUCCACGUUGGACCUUACUUAGUUGCUUUGGUUUGUAUACCGCCGUUUAUUGAUUAUCUUUUUAGGGUUUAUUUAAUUUUCUAGCUUCUUUAUUUUGGUCUAUUUCAGGUCAAGGUGCAGCUUGUUUCUAAGUGGUAUGAUGGAUUACAUUGUUAUUUGUUUAUUUGGAUUGUUGAUUUUAAUAUUGGCAUGAAAUUGGAUUUGGUUGUAAUGUUUUGUAGAUUAUUUUCAUGAUAAUUGGUUCUGAGAUAUGUACACAUCGCCCGUCGCUCUCGUUUAUUUGUUAAUGAGAUAAGUCGUAACAAAGUGGUUGUACCGGAAGGUGCAGCUGGAUUGAC